RNAcentral lists this ribosomal RNA (108 nucleotides) under Myotis davidii. The record is from RNAcentral. Lineage: Eukaryota; Metazoa; Chordata; Mammalia; Chiroptera; Vespertilionidae.
GUCUACGGCCAUACCACCCUGAACGCACCCGAUCUCGUCUGAUCUCGGAAGCUAAGCAGGGUCGGGCCUGGUUAGUACUUGGAUGGGAGAGACAGCUAGCAGCAGAGA